Molecule: small RNA, 125 nt
Filed under: Marmota monax (woodchuck)
Lineage: Eukaryota; Metazoa; Chordata; Mammalia; Rodentia; Sciuridae
Source: RNAcentral
GCCGGGCGUGGUGGCGCAUGCCUAUUAUCCCAGCAGCUCUAGAGGCUGAGGCAGGAGUAUCACAAGUUCAAAGCCAACCUCAGCAACAGCGAGGCACUAAGCAACACAGUGACAACCUGUCUCUA